RNAcentral lists this ribosomal RNA (388 nucleotides) under Nyctimene cephalotes. RNAcentral describes it as "partial 12S ribosomal RNA". It matches the Rfam family "Bacterial small subunit ribosomal RNA", at positions 794 to 1382 of the family's 1533-position model. The record is from RNAcentral. Lineage: Eukaryota; Metazoa; Chordata; Mammalia; Chiroptera; Pteropodidae.
GCUUAGCCCUAAACCUAGAUAGCCCACAACAACGCUAUUCGCCAGAGUACUACUAGCAACAGCUUAAAACUCAAAGGACUUGGCGGUGCUUCACACCCCUCUAGAGGAGCCUGUUCUGUAAUCGAUAAACCCCGAUAAACCUCACCAACCCUUGCUAAUACAGCCUAUAUACCGCCAUCUUCAGCAAACCCUAAAAAGGAACCAUAGUAAGCAAAACUAUGCAACAUAAAAACGUUAGGUCAAGGUGUAGCCCAUGGGUUGGGAAGAAAUGGGCUACAUUUUCUAAUAUAGAACAUUUUAACGAAUAUUCCCGUGAAACCAGGAAUGGAAGGAGGAUUUAGUAGUAAAUUAAGAAUAGAGAGCUUAAUUGAACUAGGCCCUGAAGCAC